UCCGGCUUGUCGCCGGCGGUCCCUCUAGAGUGCCCAGCAUAACCUGAUGGCAACUAGUAGCGAGGGUUGCGCUCGUUGCGGGACUUAACCCAACAUCUCACGACACGUGCUGACGACAGCCAUGCAGCACCUGUGUUCCAGCCAGCCGAACUGAAGGACCGCAUCUCUGCAGCCCAAACUGGACAUGUCAAAGGCUGGUAAGGUUCUGCGCGUUGCUUCGAAUUGAACCACAUGCUCCACCGCUUGUGCGGGCCCCCGUCAAUUCCUUUGAGUUUUAAUCUUGCGACCGUACUCCCCAGGCGGGAUGCUUAAUGCGUUAGCUGCGCCACUGAAGGGUAAACCCACCAACGGCUAGUACUCAUCGUUUACAGCGUGGACUAC
Molecule: unclassified non-coding RNA, 381 nt
Filed under: uncultured Alphaproteobacteria bacterium
Lineage: Bacteria; Pseudomonadati; Pseudomonadota; Alphaproteobacteria
Description: contains 16S-23S intergenic spacer region
Source: RNAcentral